UGAGACAUCAGAGGAAAGAAUAAUGGCGUGUGUACAGUAGACACAAUGUAGAUUACAAUUUAUAACAGGAUGCAGGAUGGAGCCAGCACUUGAUUAGGGGACCAUGUUACAAAUUUUUCAGCAUAUGUCCUCUGUUUUUCUUUGCCUUGGCAUAGAUGGCUGGGCACUGCUGGUAAGUAAAUCAGAUCGUCAGAAAAUGCCCAUGUUGAUGAGAACUGAAGGAUCCAAGGAAAUUAACUUGAGUUGUAUUUUAGACAAUUCUGCCAUAUCCAUUCCUUGCCCAGAGCUGUCAACUGCGAAAGAGUUGUGCCCACUCACAGCUUAAUCAGAGAUAAAAAUUAUCCCUAGUUGAUGAAUAUGUUCACCAUGAAGCUAGUGGCAGAGCACAGAUUCCCAGCACAGAGUUCUGCAUGUCUCGCACUAAGACAUGACAUAUACUGAUGUGUUUUUUUUUCCUCUGAGCAGCACCCUCAUACUCAACACUUUGCCCUGCUCUUCCCCAGAUACACAGAAAGCCUGGGCAAGGGAAGUUUUCCAGGAUGAAACAUGGGAAGCUCCUGCUGAUGAGCCUGUAGGACCUUACAGUUCUUUGUGUGUCUGCUUGAAAUGGCUGCACAGGAGCUGUUCACCUGAUUGCUAGGGAUGACGUCAGGAAGGAAUUCUUCCCCUCCAUCUGAUCACAAAGGCUGAUUCUUUCAUCUUCUGUGAUUCGAGGCUUGGAUUCCCUCCUGGAUGUGUCCGCAAUCACACUCUCUGCUGUUGUUAGGACCUGAUACGUCGGCAUGGCUCUCGCUCUCUCCUCAUCAGUUUACUUUCUAACAUCCUGAAAGCUUCAUCAUGACUGCUCAGUGCACCUCACCCUGGGCUGAGAUUAAAAGUUAAAAAAGAGAAAGAGUGAACACAACGGGAGAGAAAACAGAAGAGAUUUUGGCAGCAACCUGGUGACACACUGAAAGGCCUUUGGGGUAACAGAGAACAGCAAGCAACUUGUGAUCCACAAAGGAGAAUGGCAGCAAAAGCAACAGGAUUGAACUUCUGCCAAUAGUGGUGAUGGUUGAACUCUCUCCUGAGAAAGUCAGUCUGUCUGUAUGGAAGGAGCAAGACAAACGCUUGGACAUGAGUCCCAGCUUUGCAGCUGCAGACCAGGACCGCUUUGUCAGGCAGCAGUUGGAUGAGACUUGAUGGGAGAAUCACCCAAGACAAGGAGUGCAAAGGGGUUUACCACUGCAGAGACAUGGGAGCACCUCAGCUAGGACAGCACUGUUUCAUUGAAUGAUGCAUGUGCUCCCAGUAACUCAGGUCAGAAAGGAGCUGUCAGAGACCUGCCUCUCUUGAAAAGCAUGUGGAUUUCAUCUACACAAGCAUAACUGCUAUUACUGUCAGUGGUAAUAUUCCCUUCUUGACACGUAUGUAUUAUUAUUAAUCUUCCAAGCUAUUUCUAAGCUAUUAACUUUACAAAACCCACAGAGACUGUUAAGGACAAUGGAGUUGAGCCCGUUCCACAGGCAGGGAAAAUGUACUAGAUGCUAUCGUUAGAUUGAUUUGGGAGUAAAGAAAAAAUAAACCCAGUUCUUCUCUUGGUAGUCAUAUGGACAACUUAAAUCUAGUUCCAAACAAUCAAAAUUCAUCCCUUCAUGGCUGCUAGAUGACAGAUCUCUGGCCAAGCCACAUACGCUCUGGUAGCAAUAGGCUUAGAUACAUUUCUUGCCAGGCAAGUUUCUAACCUUCAGAAGCUGUGUUACCUAUGGGCAGGACGUGGCAAUAGCACAGGGAAAUUUUCAUCCUCAAUGAGAAAUACCUCUGGGACAAAGGAAAGAUUGUGUGGCAUUUAGAACAGAUUGUGUACACGUAUGAGAAGGCAACAGAAAGCUCAUUCAGAAGGCAGCUGCUUCUUUAUAUCCUCUCCAUGUGUAUGAACUUAUGGUUGUAUGAAAGCCAUAUCCAGUUAUUGAAGUAUUUGAUGAUCCAAAGUGCUCACGGCCUUCUUAUUUCACCUCAUUCAUCACAGAAGCUUCGUACAACCUUUAUACAGGUGUCAGCCCCCAGUAAAUACAAUAGCUCACCAAUAAAGGAUGGUCUCUCCCUCUGUCGGGAGGACUGGUAUUCAAGAGGUGGUACUUUUGAUAUGAUGCUUAUUUAAAAUU
Phasianus colchicus (ring-necked pheasant) is the source of this 2144-nucleotide non-coding RNA. NCBI's taxonomy places the organism in Eukaryota, Metazoa, Chordata, Aves, Galliformes, Phasianidae. The record is from RefSeq and is a predicted model, not a curated record.